RNAcentral lists this ribosomal RNA (253 nucleotides) under uncultured bacterium. Its description in RNAcentral is "partial 16S ribosomal RNA". It matches the Rfam family "Bacterial small subunit ribosomal RNA", at positions 524 to 776 of the family's 1533-position model. The record is from RNAcentral.
UACGUAGGGGGCAAGCGUUGUCCGGAAUUAUUGGGCGUAAAGAGCGUGUAGGCGGUCUGUCGCGUCGGAUGUGAAACCUCGGGGCUCAACCCCGAGCCUGCAUUCGAUACGGGCAGACUAGAGUUCGGUAGGGGAGACUGGAAUUCCUGGUGUAGCGGUGAAAUGCGCAGAUAUCAGGAGGAACACCGGUGGCGAAGGCGGGUCUCUGGGCCGAUACUGACGCUGAGGAGCGAAAGCGUGGGGAGCGAACAGG